This 74-nucleotide transfer RNA is filed under the name Adhaeretor mobilis. RNAcentral's name for it is "Planctomycetes bacterium HG15A2 tRNA-Ala". It matches the Rfam family "tRNA". Rfam says of the family: Transfer RNA (tRNA) molecules are approximately 80 nucleotides in length. Lineage: Bacteria; Pseudomonadati; Planctomycetota; Planctomycetia; Pirellulales; Lacipirellulaceae. The record is from RNAcentral.
GGGGCCGUAGCUCAACUGGGAGAGCGCCGGCUUUGCAAGCCGGAGGUUAGGGGUUCGAUCCCCCUCGGCUCCAC